AAAAGACCUUUAUCACUCUCAUUACUUUGGAAAUUCUGAGGAUUUUAUGAGGUCUGUGCCAGAAAGAGGGAUAAAGACCAAAUAUGUACUUCUUAUUAUAAAUCAUAACAUCACAGUAACCUUAGUUGGAAAUAGGGUCCUUGUAGAUGUAAUAAUGUUGAGAUGAAGCCACAUCGGAUUAGAGUGGGUGGUCUUCUAAGAAGAGGGAAAUUUGGAAACAGAAACAUAGAGAAGGCAGCCAUGUGAGACAGAAGCAAAGACUGGAGUUGUGCAUCUACAAGCCAAGGAAUGCCAAGGAUUGCUGGUGUAGGGGAGGAAGACGUUUCCUCUACCCACUCGGGGUCCUUCUGGCAAGAUAACAAAUUAAAUUCACAUGAGACAGAAUAACAGGAGAAAAUUAAACACAGCUUUAUAACAUGUAUACAUGGGAGAGACCCAGAAAAACUGAGUAACUCGCCAAAAUGGUGGAAGCUUUCACCUUAAAUACCAUCCUCAGCUCAAGACAAAGAAGAAUGUUGGGGUGGGGGGGAAUCAGUUAUAGGAGAUUACCAGAAAAGCACUGUGAACAAGAGUAAGGUUAUUAGGCAGAUUUAAGUCCUUGCCUUCUGUGUUGAUUAGAGUUUCUAGAGAUAAGGUCAUAGCCCCUUCUUUCUGGUACAGAGAGGGAGACACCUUUACAGAUGGAGAUUUCCCUUACAAAUGUAAAUAUCUUUUUACAAAGUGUUAAAUUAUACUUUUCAGAGUUUCUCUCAUGUCUGCAGUUUUUAAAAGUAACCAGCUGAAAAUAAUCCUCAUGCUAAAGAAACAUAUCUUGGAGUAGCCAAUUCCAGUCCCCCACACUAGCAUCCAUGGGAAGCCAGGGAGAGGAAAGAAGGAUUUUUUCUUAGAUAAUCCAGAGGGAGCAUGGCCUUGCCAACAUCUUGACUUCAGACUUCUAGUUUCCAGAACUGUGAGAAAAUGUUUCUGUUGUUUUAAACCACCCAGUUUGUGAUUUUGUUAUGACAGCCCUAGAAAACUAAUAAACUAAGGGAAUUAACACCUGCUAUUUCUCUUUUUGAGUAAAUGUCAUUUAGAUAGCCCAGGAAAUGAUUCAACAGACAUAAAUUUAGUAUAAAUUAGGAUUGAAUGCCAAAAGGAUUAGGAGGGAACAGAGAGAUCGGAGGACAAGGAAAUUACAGAAUUGAAUAUUUGAUGAAAGCUAAUUUCUUAAGGAAUUCUACUCACUGCUGCUGAUCCUGCCUCAUUUCCCGUCUUCAUCUUUCCCUGCUUCCACAUGGUGGGAUCUGUCAGUUCCCCAGCUAUCCAUCUCAAAACCAUACCUGACCAGUUUGAAGGCAGCAUGAGCUCUAUAAUUUGCUACAAUUCAUAAACAGAAGAGAGAAGGGGAGGGAAAGCCAGUGUAUAAUAUGCAAGGCAUUAAGAUCAAUUUCUCUGUAUCCAGUGUGACCUUUGCCUCAGAGCUGAGCUCGUUUUGGAGCUGUCCUUGGUGCUUACCUCAGACCUGGAACUCAAUUUUCAGGACUGAUCCAGCCUGCAGUUUCCUCAUAAUGAGGAGUCUAUUUUUCAUGAACCAGGUGCCUCUCUGCCCACCUUGGAACCCUGCCACUAUCCCUACAUGGACUUGCAGGAAAAUAUGCCAAUUCCACCCUCCCUUGCUCUCCUCUGCUAUGUUUUUCUCUCUCACUCUCUCCAUAAUUCUUCCUCAGUACAGUUUUCUUGGCAUAUCUCCCUACUUAGACAUACAUCCAAACAGUAAUUUCUAUGAUGAGUGUAAGUGGUUGGUAUGGCAAGAAAAAACACAGAGCUGGAUGUUAGAAAUCCUGGAUUUUAGAUUUUAGUUAUGGCUCUAAUAUUAACGAGCCCUGUGACUUGACUAAGUCAUGUAAAAUCUCAGAAAUCUGCUUUCCCAUUUAUAAAGUUGAGAUAAUCACAUAAUCUCUAUAUUACCACAGAGGGUAGUUGUAAGGCUCACAUAAGAUGAUAAUAUGUGAAAACUCUGGAAAAUAAAUGCAAUUAUCCAUAUUUGCAAGGUAUUUCAUGUUUUGGUUAAAAUGAUCAAUAAUUACUAUGACCUUUCUUGGCAUCUUUAAUUCCUAAAUCCUAUGAGAUGGAAAAUGAAGCUUUAAUAUGAUUUUAGAUAAAAUUAUUUCUUCAUCUAGUAAAUCAAUGAAUACUGAAAUGGAGCUAUGGUGCACUGACGGCUUUGAAGUUUAGAGCUAUAUUAUUAGGACUAGGAAAUACGAUAAGAAGAAAGUGAGAGGAGAUCAGGUAUUGCAAACUAGUUUUUGUUUUUUCCC
Molecule: long non-coding RNA, 2297 nt
Organism: Equus caballus (horse)
Lineage: Eukaryota; Metazoa; Chordata; Mammalia; Perissodactyla; Equidae
Source: Ensembl